GUUGUAAUCUAUGCAAUAUAAUAUUAUCUUAACUACAACUAUUUUGUGAUGUGACCGACUGUCCCUAACGCAAAUGACAAAGAAUUUGAUAGUUAGUAUUUGAGGUCCAAAAUUCAAAUCCUAUUUGAUUCAUAUUUUCAACUAAGUUUAUUUUUAAAAGAAAUAAACGAAACGAACAACAUGCUACCUUUCUCUUUCUCAAAAAAAAAAACUAUUUUGUGAUGUGCCCGUCAAUUCUACUAUUCUGAUUGACACCUCUGUAACCUCUAGGUUUUUGAAAUAAAAAUAUUUUUACUAGGGGACCGUUUAGUUAGAUAUAUUUAGAAAUACAGAAUAGUUAUAAAUAUUGCAGUAACUUUAUGUAUUUUGAUUUUUCUCAAAAAAACUUUAUGUAUUUUGAUUGGUUUGAUGUUGUAGAAAGUAUCACAACUUUAAAUAAUAUAUUUGGUUUCAUAUAAUUAAAAAGUAUUUUAUAUACGUAGUGAUAAAUUAUUUCUAAUAUAGAAAGAAAUAAGAUUUUUCAUUUAAAAAGUGAUUAGAAAAGUAAAUUUAUCUUUAUUUAAAGUUAUUCUCUCUAACUACAGCAAUUGAGUCCUUACAGUUUUAACUAUAGUAACUGAAUUCAAAUAUAUCAAAUUAAACAGCAGAUUUGAAUCUGGAUACAAUUACAUGCAACAAAACACUGAAUCUGGAUACAAUUACAUGCAACAAAACACC
RNAcentral lists this long non-coding RNA (717 nucleotides) under Ananas comosus (pineapple). Its description in RNAcentral is "long non-coding RNA (ACOM_LNC019274)". The record is from RNAcentral. Lineage: Eukaryota; Viridiplantae; Streptophyta; Magnoliopsida; Poales; Bromeliaceae.